CGGGGUGGAGUAAUGUCUGGGAAACUGCCUGAUGGAGGGGGAUAACUGCUGGAAACGGUAGCUAAUACCGCAUAACGUCGCAAGACCAAAGAGGGGGACCUUCGGGCCUCUUGCCAUCGGAUGUGCCCAGAUGGGAUUAGCUAGUAGGUGGGGUAACGGCUCACCUGGGCGACGAUCCCUAGCUGGUCUGAGAGGAUGGCCAGCCACACUGGAACUGAGACACGGUCCAG
Molecule: ribosomal RNA, 230 nt
Filed under: uncultured bacterium
Lineage: Bacteria
Description: partial 16S ribosomal RNA
Rfam family: Bacterial small subunit ribosomal RNA
Source: RNAcentral